Triticum aestivum (bread wheat) is the source of this 649-nucleotide long non-coding RNA. RefSeq lists it as uncharacterized. The transcript has 3 exons. Lineage: Eukaryota; Viridiplantae; Streptophyta; Magnoliopsida; Poales; Poaceae. The record is from RefSeq and is a predicted model, not a curated record.
UGGGAGAUGAUGCUUCCCUCCGGCAGGACCCCCUCGUUCCGCGCUAGGCUGGCGAGGGGCGAGGGGCGAGCGGCGCGGUUAAUUCCUCUCCGGUGGUUGUGUCCGGCCAAGCGUGCGAGUCUCCGAGCGUUUCGGGCAGGGCCGGCGAGCGGCGUUCCGGGCAGGGCCAGCGAGCGGCGCUUCUGAUUCGUCUCCGGCCAACAGUGCCGGUCCUCCGAGCAUUCCCCAUCGAUGUCAUACUAGAUCUAAUCCCAAGAUUGGGCUAGGUUUGCCAAGCAAACAGAGGAGGGGACAAGGACGUGGCUCAUUGGGCUGUCUCCUCCAAGAUCAGCACAUCAUUUGAAGGAAGUAGGAGAGGAAACGAGGUAGUGGCAUCUUGCCUACAGCUGCUGAUUUCCCCUGAGUCGUACUGUCCAGAUUUUGGUCUUGAAGAAAUUGCGAGGUUUGCUGGUGGCAGUAAAGAUCUAUGCAGAUUCCAACCAAAAAAAAAGACUGUUGUUGUGUACUCGAGUUGUGUGCUCAAUGUUUGAUGUAUAAGUGUGAGAUUUACUAUGGCUGUUCAGUUAGUGAUGUGUCUAUCUUGUAACAAAAUUCCCUAGCAUAAUGCGGUUGGAACAUUUGCCUUAACUAAUGUAUGUGUUGUUGAAGC